Long non-coding RNA from Calidris pugnax (ruff), 8558 nucleotides. RefSeq lists it as uncharacterized. The record is from RefSeq and is a predicted model, not a curated record. Lineage: Eukaryota; Metazoa; Chordata; Aves; Charadriiformes; Scolopacidae. The transcript has 4 exons.
AGAAAAUGUUUAAGUAAUUGAUGCAACUGGACACAGUCAGCAGACAAAACUGAGAACAGCCCCACUGAAAAGCAGAGCAUGGUGCUUCUCCUCUUAGAGGGACAGCUUUUCACACCUCUAGUGAGCCAUCAUGCUGGAGACCCUGCUAGUCCUCUUCCUUAACACAGUUUAAAGAAAGAGGUCGUCAAGGAUGGAGACGACUGAGAAAUCCAAGUGCAGCCUUUAUCUUCUUUCCCAAACACGCAAGAACCCAUCUGUUACUGAAGAGAAAAGGGAAAGCCUUUGCAGUUGUUCUGGACAGACUAAUUGUACAGUGGCCAAAAAGAGACUAUUGAAGCCUCUCGUUAAAGAAAAAGGAAGUUGUUGAAUCUCUGGUAAGGCCCACACAGCUGACAACAUGGAUCCAAGGGAAACGUCUGCUUAGUUGAAGAACGGCUGGAGAACCUCUCAUCCAAGGGAGAACCUGAAGCUUAAGUGUGUUGUGCCCCCAGGUAUGUGGCAUGCCCCACCAGGAGAUGGGAGGGAAAAUAAAGGACACCAAAAGAAAGGAUAAAAGGGAGGAGAACUAACCACAGCCAGGAAUAAACUGUGGGAAAAGGAGUGAUUUACCCAAGUACGACCCAUAGCACAAUCCAAAACACGGCAUCAGCCCAGACAAUUCCAAAAGCCAGAAAGUGUGUGAGAGCUACUUAACAAAGACUCAGUAAAAGGGUGGAGAGAAGCAUCUUUAUGCCAUUCCCCCUUUAUUUAGUGACAUUGUUGCACAUACAGAUAAAAGCCAACACUUGCCAUUUCUUAGAGUUGGAAGUUUAAUCGAGUUCUUCAAACACACAUUAAAAAUACAAGUCUGUGCGUGGUUGAAUCAUGCGGUUUCCCAGCAGGUUCCUUGAAUUAACAGAUUUCAACAGAAAUUGAAAAGGAUUUUAAAUUACUUUUUCAGUCAAAGGUCUCUCUACUAUUGGAAAUUCCAAUCUGGAGGAUUGUAUUAGCAAUUUAGCAUAGAUUGCCAAAGGGAACUGUUGAAGUCUCUUCUGCAAGCAUUUGUCUGUUUAUGGGUAUUUCACUCCUGAUAUGUACAAAUUCUGAUUUCUUGAAUAGGAACUCCUGGCCAGCAACGUACCUCGAAGCUCUACCUCAUUUCUUAUGCUCUUACGCUCCACUUGUAAAUGAUGGAAUUUAUCUCAAACCUUUCUGGCUACCCUAAUUUGAUAGAACCACAGAAUAGUAAUAGUUGAAGCAUGAAGGGACCUCAUCAGAUUGUCUAGUUCAGGCCCCACCCAGUUCAAAGACAGGUCAACUACAGCAGGUUGCUCAGGAUUGGAUCCGGUUGGGUUUCAGGGAUCUCCAAGGCUGAAGACUCCGCACCUCUGGGAAACCAAUUUCAGUGUUUGACCCCCUUCACUGUUAAGAAAUUAUUUCUUAUUUAAGAGAAUUUUCCUGUCUUUCAAUUUGUGCCCGUUGCCACUUGUCCUUUCUGGGCAGUGGUGAAAAGAUGCUGGUUCUGUUGUCUUUUACUGCUUCGCUUUUGGUAUUUACACGUAUUGAUAAGAUCUCCUGAGCCUUCUCUCCUCCAGUUAAACAAUACCAGCUCUCUCAGUCUCUCCUUGUAUGACACAUGCUCCAUUCUCUCAAUUAUCUUUGUGACCCUUCAAUGAACUUAUUCCAGUACCUGCAUGUCUCUCCCGUUCUGGGGAGCCUGGAACUGGACACAGCACUUGAGCUACGGUCUCACCAGUGCUUCACUAGAGAGAAAGAAUCCCUUGCUGGCAAUGCCUGGGAUGUUGUUGGCCACCUUUGAUGUAAGAUUGUUGGCUCAUGGUCAACUUUUCACCCACCAGGAGCCCUGGGUCCUUUUCUGCAGGGCUAUUUCCAGCCAUCAAUGUAUACUAGUGCAUGGUGUUAAUGCUCAUCUCCUGCAGAACUUGGCAUUUCCCUUUGUUGAACUUUGUGAGGUUCAUGAACAGGAGCUGGCCCAUUUCUCCAGCCUCUCAAGGUCUCUCUGAAUGGCAGCACAUCUAUCUGGUCUAUCAACUGCUCCUCUCAACUUUGUAAAUGCAAACUUGCUGAGGAUGCACUCUGUCCCCAUCAUCCAGGUCCCCAAUGAAGAGGUUAAGCAGUACUAAUCCCACCAUCAACCCCUGUGGUACUGCCCUAGGGAGAGGCCUCCAGCUGGAUUUCAUGCCCAGCCCAACCCUUGGAGCUCAACAGUUCAGCCAGUUUUCAGUCCACGUCACUCUUCAUUUGUUUAGUCUGUACUUUAUUAGUUUGUUGAUGCAGAUGAUAUGGGAGACAAUGUCAAAAGCCCUGCUAAAGUCAAGAUAAACAACAUCCACUCUCUCCUCUCAUCCACAAAGCCAGUGGUUUCAUCACAAAAGGCUACCAGAUUGGUCAGGCAUGGUUCCCCCUGGUUAUAUCCAAGCUGACAACUCCUAAUCAUCUUGUCCAUGAUAUAUGUGAAAAUAGCUUCCACAAGAAGUUGCUCUAUGACCUUCUCAGGGGUUGACGUGAGGCUGACAGGUUCGUUGUUUCCUGAAUUCUCCUUCUUGUCCUUCUGGAAGGCAGGUGGGAUAUUUGCUUUCUUACAGUCCCCAGGAAUCUCAUCCAAUUGCCAUGACCUUCCAGAUGAUGUCAUUGAGAGCAGCCCUGCACGCAUGGGUGAAUCCCACCAAAUCCUACGGACUUGUGUAUACUCUACUUGUUUAAAUGUUUCCAAACUCGAUCCUUCUCGAUUGAGGUUAUGUCUGCAGAGCUCCAGAUUUUUCCACUGAUCUCUCCACAGCCUGGGAUCCCUCAAAGCAAAUCUUACCAGUAAAAACCAAGGCAAAUAAUUUCGUUCUGCAGUAUAAAUAACUCAGUUUUACUUUUGCUGUAGUAUUUCUUGUAUGUGUACAAGUAGCAGCAAAUAGAGACAAUGACUGUGUGUUGCCUCUUGAGCAACCUGCACCUGAACGGUAUCUAUCUCAAACUGCUGUUCUUAGUGGUGAACCAUAUAUGGAUACAAAAAGAUAAAAAACCGUUAGAAGUAGCUGAGGGCAUUUUCCUGCAGAAUCAUAUUGUGAUAUUGGCAACAUAAAUCUGGUCUAGGGAAAGAAAGAAGAAUGACAAAUCUCUUGCAAAACUGGAACGGUAUUUUAACAAUCAUAAAAAAGACAGAUUCCUCCUUGUGGAAAGAAUAUGAGGAAAGCAUUUUUUUCUCCAAACAAACCCCAUAACUUUUAUACCUAAAUACUGGAGAUAAUGCAAGAACGAAAGCAAUCAUCUUCAUGCCUUCAAGAACUGAAUUUUGAAGCUUCUGAUCAAAUUCCUGUUAUUGUAUUGUUAAGGAAGUGGCCUCGUUCGCUGAACUGAAGCGAUUCUGGUAGAGCUUCCUGUUUAAAGCAGCAGGGAGUGCAGCCCCGAGAACAUCAAUCACACGGCUCAUGAUAUUAACUCGACUGGAGCACUGCAGGAACAGGCCUCCAGUCAACUUCAAGGCUCCCCUGCAACGUUAUAUACUGCAGUGUCCCAAAGUUAGUAUUUCUUUGCUGCCCCACAGUAAGUCUCUAAUAGGAACAGGUAGAGUUAGGAAGAGAUGGAACAACCGUGCAGUGCCGGGGAGUGAGACCAGGGGUCUGCCCUCCUCUCUCCCAUCUGUCACAAAAGGUGCAAAAAAUCGGAGAAAUCAAUGACAUCAUAACCUACACAUAAGUUCCUUCCACAGAAGAGACAGCAACUGCUUGACUUAAUAACUAGAAGUCCAAGGCAUAAAGAUUUAUAUCCCUUCUAAUUUUAAACUUUGUCUACCGCUGCGGGUAUUUUUUUUUAAUGGUUUUUAUUUUCUGGUAAUGAUUUCCACAGAAUAACUUUGUAUUUCUAAAUUUGUUGUCUGAGUUAGUUACAUUCUUUCAUGGAUUCUCACUUUAAUGUGGUAUUUUUAGAAGAAAAACACGAACAGUUAAGCUCUUCAUUGUUCUCUCAAUUUUGUAAUAAUUGUACUUCACAUUUAAACACGACAAGGAGAUAUAGCCAGUGCUCCUAUGAAAUCUUUCAUACUGACAAUUCCUUAUUAAAAGUAAACAUAAUCAUAAUUUGUCAAUAAAAAAUGUCCAAACUAGGAGCGGGAUGAAACAAACCAAACGCAACAUGUCAGACAGAUAUGUGCUCUGCAAGAAAGCCCUGUGGACAAAAUGUUAUGAAAGGGACUAUUCUGAUCUCUGUAACAGAGUAGAGUAAGUUGAUGUUCUGAACAGUUUUUGCUCUGUGCAGACGUGUACCUUCAUCUUCAUAGAAGUGCUGAAGGUGUUACCAACUUAAAGCAAGAGAUGGAGUACUGCCUGUUCCUUCAGGCUGUUUAAUCUUUCGCAGUUCUAAAUAUCCUCCCCCCCCAAUUAAAGUACAGUUUAGAAACAUGUUAAAUUUACUACCACCAUAAAUACCAAUUUCAAAAAUUGUGGAGGACAUAACAGCCGAACUCUGCUCUUACUUCUAGUUUAGGGGGUCAAAAGAAUGAAGCACCAUAUAAAAUACAGCAGGAUAAAUGUAUCUAAUGUGAUAAUUAUUUAACUGAACUGACAAGGAAAAUAUUUGAAUUUAUAUGUAUCAAUUCAUAUACUCAAUUUACUGAAAUGCUUCUUCAGUUUCCUAGAUGGGUUUUCUGAAAAAAAAAAAAAAGAAAUUUAUAUCCUAGAGCAUUUCAGGUUCAUAUAAUGCCAUUGUAGAGACAUUGCUGUUUGACUGAAUGGAUGAACAAACUCAUGGCUUUACUUACGCAAAUAACAUCGCUUAUAUAAAGGAACAUAUAUCUGAGCUUGCAUAUGACUUGAAGUAACUCUCAGAAACAUGAAUACUAAUAUGAAUCUUUGGCCACUGUUCCCAGAAUGUUACUCAUUCAAGCUUUGGGUGUGUUGUGCUGAGGAUUACAUUAUUAUGACUAUUAUCUAUGGUGGUUUAGCCCUAGCUGGCAACUGGGCACCACACAGCUGCUUGCUCAGUCCCCCCGCUGGGAUCGGGGAGAGAAUUGGAAGAGUAAAAGUGAGAAAACUCGUGGGUUGAGAUAAAGACAGUUUAAUAAGUAAAGGAAAAGCCGCGCACACAAGCAAAGCAAACCAAGGAAUUCCUUCACUACUUCCCCUCGGCAGGCAGGGGUUCGGUCGCCCCCAGGAAAGCUCCAUCACACCUAAGGGUUACCUGGGAAGAUAAACACCCUAACUCCACGUCUCCCCUUUCCUUCUUCUUUCCCCUGCGUGUGACAUCACAUGGUAUGGAACAGCCCUUUGGCCAGCUGGGGUCAGCUGUCCCAGCGAUGGCCCCUCCCAACCUCUCGUGCACCCCCAGCAUACUCGCUGGUGGGGCGGUGCGAGGAGCAGAAAAGACCUUGACUCUGUGUAAACCCUGCUCAGCAGCAAUUAAAACAUCCCUGUAUUAUCAACACUGUUUUCAGGACAGAUCCAACACACGGCCCCACACUAGCUACUAUGAAGAAAAUUAACUCUAUCUGAGCCCAAACCAGCAUGCUAUCUCACAAAGUUGUAUUUGGACAAUACCUACAUGCUUGCAGAGGGACUUAGCAGAAGGGACAUCAAGCUAAGAUGCAACAAAAAAAAUCAAAUCUCAAUGAAGUAUUUUUAUGGUCAGUGGCUGACCAGUAUGAGGCUCCAGGACCAUUUGCUCUCAGGUCUCUAGAUGUUCAAGUUGAGCACAGCUUCCCCUAUCCUGCUGCUCACAAAAGCAAAGGCUUUUACCUACUAGAUCAGAUGGCAACAGUUUCUUGCUUGUCGUACCAAGGCAGGGGAGGCACUGGGGAAGCAGGGGGGUCCUGGAACAAUUGCAGAAACGUUCAGGCUCUGACCCAGUGACAAGUUCAAUUGCACUGGGCUGUUCCGGGCUGCGACUGACAGGUCUGACAUCCCAAGUACCUGCUUCCCAUUCAUUACCUGACACUCAGCCCCAUUCACUCGACACACACCACCAGUUUUGGCCCCUAAACGGUCUGGCAUGACUUACUGGCUGGCAGCGAGGAGGAACCUCAAGCUGUGCUCACUGAUGCUGUUGGAGUUAGAAGUAGCAAGGGAGGAAUUUUAAGAACAGGAUCCUCAGAACUGUGUGUGGAGAAGGAGAUAGUGGGAAUGGUAAAAGGGGUGGGAAUGAAGUGUCAUAUGAGCAAAUGUUGGUAUAUGCAAUUUUUAUAAAGAAUUUAAAAUGAAAGGUAGACAAUAAAGCUAAGAAGAUGCACAGGCACCGAAGACAUCUUAGAGCAAAAAUUUACAAAAUGUUCCAAAAAUAGGAGGGCAAUUUAAGCUCAAAUGAAUGCACAAGGACUAACUCCAGAAACCUGUAAAGGGAAAAUUCCUACUUCUUACUCAACAAAAAGGAUCAGGAUUGAACAUGGUAAUUCAUAAGAAGAGGGAGAACAAUCCAAAUCUAAGUAGCAAUGACCAUAUGGACUGAGAAAGCUAUUUAGGGCGAGCCAGUCCUGGGGAACAGAAAAAGAAAAUUCCAUAGUCCUCCCUUUCUCUCCCUUAAGUUAACUGUGAACCUGAAGCAACUGAAAAGAAAACUUAUUUGGGAAGCUUAAUUUUAAAUUGCAUUUUUGUUAUUUACUUUGCACCCCCUCCUACACGUCAACCUUUGCUCUUAGAAUAAACUCACUUUACUCUGGAAGCUUGUCUUGGCAUUAAAAGCAACUCUUAAGCAACUCUGGGAUGAAUAAGGCGUAUUAUUUCAGAAACAAUUAAUCCAAAUAAAGAAGAGCCUUAGCCCUACCUUGUUGCACUCACCUAAGGCAAGUGGGAGGAACCUUGGGAACCGAGCUCUCUAAGAGGCAAGGAUCAGCUGGAGAACCUGUAACAUCAGAUAUCGAGAAAAGUCAGCUCUCCCCUUUCAGCCAAGGAGACAUAAUACAAAGACAGCCCCGAAACCUGAGAAACUUGUUAAAAGCAGGUAUUUCCAUGCCCUGCUGUUACAGUAUGACAGGAAAUUAAACUACCUGAUGUAUUCACUGUACAUUUACUCAAAUGCAUUUAAUAUGAAUGUACUUUUAUUUUAUAGUUAAAUCAAUAAAAAAGGUAGAGUUGUCAGUUCUUUACUACUGUUCUAUAGUCGUAGGUUCCUUGCAAGGUUAUCACCAGCCUCUCCCCUCCACCGUAUUUCCCAUAGCCUGGUAAAUACUUAAUGAAGCUCAAAACAACUGUUCUUAAACUCAUAACUUAGCUUUGAAGUUCACUGCUUUUGUUUCAGUUCUGACAAAAGGGCUUCUAUUCCCCAAACUUUUCAGCCAGAGUGGCAAUGAUACUCCAAUGGCAUGUGGCACUAGUUAUUCCACUUUGAAAUGCUGUAUACUAUCAGUUUGCACUGUUUCCCUUAAAGAAUUUGAGAGUAGAAUUUCCUUUGAAAAGCCAACUCACUCAUUUAUAAGAGUAACUUCUUGUUGAAGUCAGUUGGUUUGUCCUUGUCAUGAAAGCAGGAAGUUCCUUUAGCAAGGAAAUUAUCAUUUCUAAGAUCUAUACCUGAGAGUUGAUAUUUACAGCUGAACAGUAAAGUGAGCUUUCAAUCAUCCCUCUUUACAAGCUCUGCCUGAUUUUGUUAACAUUGUGUUAAAAUGGAAAAAAAAAUAAUGGUCUGAGCUGAACAUGAGUCCGUGUUUCCGAGAGACACCAAUGCACUUCCCCAUCAGAGAAUCUGUGAAUGCUUAGAGGAAAGAAAGUUGGUCCAAAUCAGUUUUACGAUAGAAAUCAUUUACUGCCUUAAAAGCAGAGAAGCUUGGGAACUCUCAGAGCAGCUCUAAGACCUACACAAAAUAAUAAUUCAAAUAUCUAAAGCCAAAGUGUUCUUCUAAAAGAGCCCAGGGAUAUUAGCGAACCUGUAGAUCUGCAGACUGUAGAAAGUUAUUUGUAUUUUUCCUAAUAAGUAGAGCACCAAACAAAUGUUCCUUGAGCUGCCAAUCAACAGCUGCAUCAUGAAGAGUUCCUACUAAUAUAAACAGGAAUCACCCUGGGCACUAAAUUACUAAUAUAGCAGAAUUGACUAAUUAAAGAUUAUAUUAAUUCAGAAAACAGCUGAUGGAUGUGAGGCUUAUUGUGCUGUACAGAAUAUUUGACUGCUUUGGAGGAAGGACUAGAUAAAGUUACAAAUGCCAAUAUUUCAACAGUAGAUUUUUUAUGGAAUUAAUUCAGUUUGACUGGCACCAGCUUUUGCAGAAAUAUUCAAUGAAGUCACAGAUAUUUUAGGCUAAGCAAAGCCCAAACAAAAAAAAGGUAAGUCUCAAAUAAGACUUUACUGUCAAAAAGUGAUAGCUAAUACUGAAACCCAUUUUCCUUUCCAUCUAUUUUGCUAAAAGGAGUUUCAGUAAUUGUUCCUGUUUUCUGACUGUGAAUGUGUUCCCAAAACAACCUUAUCAAACAAACAGAGGAACAAGAACUGUACACAAUGGUGCAUCUAGUAACUCUGUCCCAUUGUCCCUUCCUGUCCUCUGCCACAGCUCUCUUUUUGUUCUUUACUGAAUAAUGUCAUAUGGGAAGACUGGUAUGGUAAACACCUGAAUAUCUUAAAUUGUCAUUCAAAUAAACAAAGUUCACAAGAAA